RNAcentral lists this ribosomal RNA (459 nucleotides) under uncultured bacterium. RNAcentral's name for it is "partial 16S ribosomal RNA". It matches the Rfam family "Bacterial small subunit ribosomal RNA", at positions 338 to 795 of the family's 1533-position model. The record is from RNAcentral.
CCUACGGGAGGCAGCAGUGAGGAAUAUUGGUCAAUGGCCGCAGGGCUGAACCAGCCAAGUCGCGUGAGGGAUGACGGUCCUAUGGAUUGUAAACCUCUUUUGUCAGGGAGCAAAGGGCGCCACGUGUGGCGUUUUGCGAGUACCUGAAGAAAAAGCAUCGGCUAACUCCGUGCCAGCAGCCGCGGUAAUACGGAGGAUGCGAGCGUUAUCCGGAUUUAUUGGGUUUAAAGGGUGCGCAGGCGGAAUGUCAAGUCAGCGGUAAAAUUUCGGGGCUCAACCCCGUCGUGCCGUUGAAACUGGCGGUCUUGAGUGGGCGAGAAGUAUGCGGAAUGCGUGGUGUAGCGGUGAAAUGCAUAGAUAUCACGCAGAACUCCGAUUGCGAAGGCAGCAUACCGGCGCUCAACUGACGCUCAUGCACGAAAGCGUGGGUAUCGAACAGGAUUAGAUACCCUUGUAGUC